This 482-nucleotide ribosomal RNA is filed under the name uncultured bacterium. RNAcentral's name for it is "partial 16S ribosomal RNA". It matches the Rfam family "Bacterial small subunit ribosomal RNA", at positions 30 to 507 of the family's 1533-position model. The record is from RNAcentral.
AUUGGACGCUGGCGGCAUGCUUUACACAUGCAAGUCGAACGGCAACAGGCCGCAAGGUGCUGACGAGUGGCGAACGGGUGAGUAAUGCAUCGGAACGUGCCCAGUCGUGGGGGAUAACUACUCGAAAGAGUAGCUAAUACCGCAUACGAUCUAUGGAUGAAAGCGGGGGACCGUAAGGCCUCGCGCGAUUGGAGCGGCCGAUGUCAGAUUAGGUAGUUGGUGGGGUAAAGGCUCACCAAGCCAACGAUCUGUAGCUGGUCUGAGAGGACGACCAGCCACACUGGGACUGAGACACGGCCCAGACUCCUACGGGAGGCAGCAGUGGGGAAUUUUGGACAAUGGGCGCAAGCCUGAUCCAGCAAUGCCGCGUGCAGGAAGAAGGCCUUCGGGUUGUAAACUGCUUUUGUACGGAACGAAACGGCUCUGGUUAAUACCCGGGGCUAAUGACGGUACCGUAAGAAUAAGCACCGGCUAACUACGUG